GGGCGAUUAGCUCAGCUGGAUAGAGCGUUGGUCUCCGGAACCAGAGGUCGCGCGUUCGAGUCGCGCAUCGCCCGCCA
This 77-nucleotide transfer RNA is filed under the name Acidobacteriota bacterium. RNAcentral's name for it is "tRNA-Arg". It matches the Rfam family "tRNA". Rfam says of the family: Transfer RNA (tRNA) molecules are approximately 80 nucleotides in length. Their secondary structure includes four short double-helical elements and three loops (D, anti-codon, and T loops). Lineage: Bacteria; Pseudomonadati; Acidobacteriota. The record is from RNAcentral. RNAcentral also lists the same sequence under 2 other names.